GGCUGGUCCAAAGGUAAUUAUCUCAAUUGAUUGCUCACAGUUGCAGAUCAAAUUCCUUGUUCUACUCUUUUCCACCUCACUACUGCACUUGACUAGUCCUUA
RNAcentral lists this Y RNA (102 nucleotides) under Saimiri boliviensis boliviensis (Bolivian squirrel monkey). RNAcentral describes it as "Y RNA (ENSSBOG00000000417.1)". It matches the Rfam family "Y RNA". Rfam says of the family: Y RNAs are components of the Ro ribonucleoprotein particle (Ro RNP), in association with Ro60 and La proteins. The Y RNAs and Ro60 and La proteins are well conserved, but the function of the Ro RNP is not known. Lineage: Eukaryota; Metazoa; Chordata; Mammalia; Primates; Cebidae. The record is from Rfam by way of RNAcentral.